UGGAACCGGUUCCCAGACUGCGAUCGAUGGAGCUCUAGCCCCGCGCGGGCCCAGUUGGACUCUGGCCCUCAGACCUGAUAGGUAGCAUUUUUUUCCGCGGGAAAAAUAGCCAGCCAGGAAAACAGAAGUCAUGGGCGGAGGUGACAAGAAGAAGGGAGGAGGGAAAGGGGAAAAGAAAGAGAAGGAUGCCAAGAAGGACGACAAAAAGGAGAGCAAAGGCAAAAAGAAGUAACAUCGGUCACUGGCUCCAACCGGGAGCCCGCAUCACCAUAGCGUAAUCACCAUGGAUUUCAUGAUGACUGCCUCCAAAGCCUCACCUAGCAAUACUACUUCCCCGUCCUCCAUCACUCGCCGUGUUUCCCUCCUCUUCAUCGUGCUUGUUAAUAAAGUAUUUGUCACGUGA
Ornithodoros turicata is the source of this 403-nucleotide long non-coding RNA. RefSeq lists it as uncharacterized. NCBI's taxonomy places the organism in Eukaryota, Metazoa, Arthropoda, Arachnida, Ixodida, Argasidae. The record is from RefSeq and is a predicted model, not a curated record. The transcript has 3 exons.